RNAcentral lists this ribosomal RNA (253 nucleotides) under uncultured bacterium. Its description in RNAcentral is "partial 16S ribosomal RNA". It matches the Rfam family "Bacterial small subunit ribosomal RNA", at positions 524 to 776 of the family's 1533-position model. The record is from RNAcentral.
UACGUAGGUGGCAAGCGUUGUCCGGAAUUAUUGGGCGUAAAGCGCGCGCAGGCGGUCCCGUAAGUCCGAUGUGAAAUCCCGCGGCUCAACCGCGGGCGGUCAUUGGAAACUGGGGGACUUGAGUGCAGAAGAGGAAAGUGGAAUUCCACGUGUAGCGGUGAAAUGCGUAGAGAUGUGGAGGAACACCAGUGGCGAAGGCGACUUUCUGGUCUGUAACUGACGCUGAGGCGCGAAAGCGUGGGGAGCAAACAGG